UACGUAGGGUGCGAGCGUUGUCCGGAAUUAUUGGGCGUAAAGAGCUUGUAGGCGGUUUGUCGCGUCUGCUGUGAAAAUCCGGGGCUCAACCCCGGACUUGCAGUGGGUACGGGCAGACUAGAGUGUGGUAGGGGAGACUGGAAUUCCUGGUGUAGCGGUGAAAUGCGCAGAUAUCAGGAGGAACACCGAUGGCGAAGGCAGGUCUCUGGGCCACUACUGACGCUGAGGCGCGAAAGCGUGGGGAGCAAACAGG
RNAcentral lists this ribosomal RNA (253 nucleotides) under uncultured bacterium. RNAcentral's name for it is "partial 16S ribosomal RNA". It matches the Rfam family "Bacterial small subunit ribosomal RNA", at positions 524 to 776 of the family's 1533-position model. The record is from RNAcentral.